Molecule: ribosomal RNA, 253 nt
Filed under: uncultured bacterium
Lineage: Bacteria
Description: partial 16S ribosomal RNA
Rfam family: Bacterial small subunit ribosomal RNA
Source: RNAcentral
UACGUAGGGCGCAAGCGUUGUCCGGAAUUAUUGGGCGUAAAGAGCUCGUAGGCGGUCUGUCGCGUCGGAUGUGAAAGCCCGGGGCUUAACCCCGGGUCUGCAUUCGAUACGGGCAGACUAGAGUGUGGUAGGGGAGAUCGGAAUUCCUGGUGUAGUGGUGAAAUGCGCAGAUAUCAGGAGGAACACCGGUGGCGAAGGCGGAUCUCUGGGCCAUUACUGACGCUGAGGAGCGAAAGCGUGGGUAGCGAACAGG